GCCGGGCGCAGGGACUUGUGCCUGUAAUCCCAGCUGCUCGGGAGGCUGAGGCAGGAGGAUCACAAGUUGAAAGCCAGCCUCAGCAACUUAGUGAGGUUCUGAGCAACUUAGCAAGACCCUGUCUCAA
This 127-nucleotide small RNA is filed under the name Marmota monax (woodchuck). The record is from RNAcentral. Lineage: Eukaryota; Metazoa; Chordata; Mammalia; Rodentia; Sciuridae.